This 253-nucleotide ribosomal RNA is filed under the name uncultured bacterium. Its description in RNAcentral is "partial 16S ribosomal RNA". It matches the Rfam family "Bacterial small subunit ribosomal RNA", at positions 524 to 776 of the family's 1533-position model. The record is from RNAcentral.
UACAGAGGUCUCAAGCGUUGUUCGGAUUCAUUGGGCGUAAAGGGUGCGUAGGCGGCGCGGUAAGUCGGGUGUGAAAUCUCGGAGCUUAACUCCGAAACUGCAUUCGAUACUGCCGUGCUUGAGGACUGGAGAGGAGACUGGAAUUUACGGUGUAGCGGUGAAAUGCGUAGAGAUUUGGAGGAACACCAGUGGCGAAGGCGACUUUCUGGUCUGUAACUGACGCUGAGGCGCGAAAGCGUGGGGAGCAAACAGG